UGUGUGAGUGAGUGUGUGAGUGUGUGAGUGAGUGAAAGCGCGAGUGAGCGAACAAGUGAGUGUAUUGGGGGCACUCGGCCUGUUGUUGUCCCCUCCACCCUUCCCCUUCCCAUCGCAGCUGCAGUGGCCACUCCCUGGGCCAUAGGAAAUGAGCGAUAACGAUGACAUCAAGGUGGAGAGCGAGGAAGAGCAGCUGAGGUUUCAAUCUGUGGCUGACAAAUGGGCUCAUCAUAAUGAGCUGGAACGGAAACGUAGGGACUACAUCAAGGACAGCUUCCACAGCCUGUGGGACUUGGCCUCGUCCCUCCAGGGAGAGAAGGCAUCCAGGGCCCAAAUCCUAUACAAAGCCACAGAGUAUAUCCAGUCUAUGCAAAGGUAAAACUACACACACCAGCAGGACAUCGACGAGCUCAAGCGGCAGAAUGCUCUUGUGGAGCAGCAAGUCUGUGCACUGGAGAAGGUGAGGUCAAGUGCCCAACUGCAGACCAACUACCCCUCCUCAGACAGCAGCCUCUACACCAACGCCAAGGACAGCACCAUCUCUGCCUUUAAUGGAGGCUCAGACUCCAGUUCUGAGUUGGAGUCCACAGAGACCCCACAGUUCCACAGGACCACAUGA
Ochotona curzoniae (black-lipped pika) is the source of this 619-nucleotide RNA transcript. It is a transcript of the gene named protein max-like, with no coding region annotated. The record is from RefSeq and is a predicted model, not a curated record. The transcript has a single exon. NCBI's taxonomy places the organism in Eukaryota, Metazoa, Chordata, Mammalia, Lagomorpha, Ochotonidae.